Neltuma alba is the source of this 775-nucleotide long non-coding RNA. RefSeq lists it as uncharacterized. The transcript has 4 exons. Lineage: Eukaryota; Viridiplantae; Streptophyta; Magnoliopsida; Fabales; Fabaceae. The record is from RefSeq and is a predicted model, not a curated record.
UAAAACAGGAGUAUAUUAUGAUCCUUGAGAUGUCGCAUUUCUUCAAAAGGCAUAUAUGAGAUGCGUAUGCUUGUCACAUUUGGGGGUAAUUCAAAAUGAUUGCAGAGCCUCCUUUAACAUGCCUGUCCUUGAGGAUUUUGUGGCAUCGAUCACCGUCUCAAGAUUGUUGUUUCAAGUGACUUGAUCUAAAGUUUCACAAGCAGAAUGUUAUUGGCUUUCAAUGAGCAUAGAAAUGGCCAAAUGUUUCUUGAAGAUGCCACAUCUUAGGUGAGGGAGCUUGUUGAAUUGCUCUGUUUUGAAGAGUCAUAUGAGGAACAAGGAAGGCGGGGAAAAAAGCUAAUAUCUAUAGGAAUCCCCUUUAGCUAAUUCAAGAGUUACAGGCGAAAAAUUAUCAAUGGUCAUUAUUUCUGCAUGUUACCAGAAAAGCAGCAUUACUUUGUUGCUCAUUUUACGUUUGGAUUGAAAAUUUGAUUAUUCCUGGUGUUGUGCUUCUUUAGGCUUCAACAUUAAGAGCUUUGUGGGUAUUAUGGAAUUAACAAUUUUCAUGAGGCAGAAUUGCAUUUCCUAUCAGCUGUAAACUACUUUUUGCACAUUUUGUUUUAGUUUGGAGUGAACUGUGUAAAACUCUAGUUACCAAUUACGAGUAAGUUAUGGAAAAAUUAUGGAAUUGUGAUUUGUAAGAGUUGUAGGUGAGCUCAUUGCAAAAUCUAGUGGGAUUAUAAUCGGAUUUUAAUGGUGAGAAAAUCUCUUCAGUAGUUUUCAAGAGGACUAGAUA